RNAcentral lists this small nucleolar RNA (106 nucleotides) under Oryza sativa Japonica Group (Japanese rice). Its description in RNAcentral is "Plant small nucleolar RNA R71". It matches the Rfam family "Plant small nucleolar RNA R71". Rfam says of the family: R71 is a member of the C/D box family of snoRNAs containing the C (UGAUGA) and D (CUGA) box motifs. The record is from RNAcentral. Lineage: Eukaryota; Viridiplantae; Streptophyta; Magnoliopsida; Poales; Poaceae.
AUCUCAUGAUGAGGACAGGCGGCCACGUACUCCUGCAGACGUUCCCAUGCCUCUGGAAUGGACUCAUCACGUGUCUGCUGGAAGCUCGAAAUUCUCCCACGAAGGC